RNAcentral lists this unclassified non-coding RNA (615 nucleotides) under Dichaetanthera articulata. RNAcentral describes it as "partial external transcribed spacer; ETS". The record is from RNAcentral. Lineage: Eukaryota; Viridiplantae; Streptophyta; Magnoliopsida; Myrtales; Melastomataceae.
GACUACUGGCAGGAUCAACCAGGUAGCAUUCAUUUUYAGACCUCAAUGCAUCCCAAGGACGAACGCGGAACGGAGAGGCUCCGCGAGCUCCGAGGAAGCACGAGGGUCACCCGAGCGGGAAGCAAAGCUUCGACACGUCGAGAUCGCAACGACCAACAAAGGACCGCGCGGUAACAAGAGAUAUCUCCGUACCCAAGAGCACGCGGACGGCAUCGACGCACCGACACGAGCGGAAACGCCCAAGAGAUGGACGACCGCCCGGAGGAGAGCGCCGAUGCCCGCACGAUAUCACCCAACGCACAGGAGGCGUGGGAGAAGCAAGGGAACCAAGACGGGGACAACGAUGAAUCCAUGUACCGCAAUCGGGUAUCAAACGCAGGAACCCACCCAUCGCCCGCGACCGACCCUCGGGCCGUCGGGGCGAGCGAUCAUAUGAAACGGAUAGGACCAAAGCAGUUCGAUGCCAGAAGCACGGAGCCUGCUGUGGGAACAUAUCCUAAUUGCCACUCAUGCGUCGUCCCAACGCCGCCCGGGAGAACGUCCGACGACCCGACGCCUCCGCCCGAAGGAGGAGGGACCGGACGAACGAGACGCACCGCGAACGAGCCUGCUAGA